GGACUACCAGGGUAUCUAAUCCUGUUUGCUACCCACGCUUUCGUGUCUCAGCGUCAGUUGCGGUCCAGAAAGCCGUCUACACCACAGGUGUUCCUCCUGAUAUCUACGCAUUUCACCGCUACACCAGGAAUUCCACUUUCCCAUCCCGCACUCUAGCCCCCCAGUUUUCGGCGCACCCUCCCAGUUGAGCCGGGAGAUUUCACACCAAACUUAGGGGACCGCCUACACACCCUUUACGCCCAGUAACUCCGAACAACGCUUGCUGCCUACGUAUUACCGCGGCGGCUGGCAC
Molecule: ribosomal RNA, 292 nt
Filed under: uncultured Acidobacteriota bacterium
Lineage: Bacteria; Pseudomonadati; Acidobacteriota
Description: uncultured Acidobacteria bacterium partial 16S ribosomal RNA
Source: RNAcentral